RNAcentral lists this ribosomal RNA (497 nucleotides) under uncultured bacterium. RNAcentral's name for it is "partial 16S ribosomal RNA". It matches the Rfam family "Bacterial small subunit ribosomal RNA", at positions 28 to 507 of the family's 1533-position model. The record is from RNAcentral.
GAUGAACGCUGGCGGUGUGCCUAAUACAUGCAAGUCGAGCGAACAGACGGGGAGCUUACUCCUCUGACGUUAGCGGCGGACGGGUGAGUAACACGUGGAUAACCUACCUAUAAGACUGGGAUAACUUCGGGAAACCGGAGCUAAUACCGGAUAACAUGUUGAACCGCAUGGUUCAACAGUGAAAGACGGUCUUGCUGUCACUUAUAGAUGGAUCCGCGUCGCAUUAGCUAGUUGGUAAGGUAACGGCUUACCAAGGCAACGAUGCGUAGCCGACCUGAGAGGGUGAUCGGCCACACUGGAACUGAGACACGGUCCAGACUCCUACGGGAGGCAGCAGUAGGGAAUCUUCCGCAAUGGGCGAAAGCCUGACGGAGCAACGCCGCGUGAGUGAAGAAGGUCUUCGGAUCGUAAAACUCUGUUAUUAGGGAAGAACAAAUGUGUAAGUAACUAUGCACGUCUUGACGGUACCGAAACAGAAAGCCACGGCUAACUACGUG